UACGAAGGGGGCGAGCGUUGUUCGGAAUUACUGGGCGUAAAGGGCGCGCAGGCGGCUCUGAAAGUCAGAUGUGAAAGCCCCGGGCUUAACCUGGGAAUUGCAUUUGAUACUCUGGAGCUUGAGUGUGGGAGAGGAGAGUGGAAUUCCCAGUGUAGAGGUGAAAUUCGUAGAUAUUGGGAAGAACACCGGUGGCGAAGGCGGCUCUCUGGACCACAACUGACGCUGAGGCGCGAAAGCGUGGGGAGCGAACAGG
Molecule: ribosomal RNA, 253 nt
Filed under: uncultured bacterium
Lineage: Bacteria
Description: partial 16S ribosomal RNA
Rfam family: Bacterial small subunit ribosomal RNA
Source: RNAcentral